CCUACCUGCAGAAAGGAGCUACCCACUCCAGGUGUCCUCUCUGCUGAGAGCUAGACAUCUGUGAGGACGGUCUGCCUGUGGACAGG
Molecule: microRNA precursor, 86 nt
Filed under: Chlorocebus sabaeus (green monkey)
Lineage: Eukaryota; Metazoa; Chordata; Mammalia; Primates; Cercopithecidae
Description: miRNA (ENSCSAG00000023295.1)
Source: RNAcentral